UUCAACUUUAGCGGCGGACGGGUGAGUAACACGUGGGCAACCUGCCCUGCAGAUCGGGAUAACUCCGGGAAACCGGUGCUAAUACCGAAUAGUUUUCGCCACCUCCUGGUGGCGUACGGAAAGACGGUUUCGGCUGUCACUGCAGGAUGGGCCCGCGGCGCAUUAGCUAGUUGGUGGGGUAACGGCCCACCAAGGCAACGAUGCGUAGCCGACCUGAGAGGGUGAUCGGCCACACUGGGACUGAGACACGGCCCAGACUCCUACGGGAGGCAGCAGUAGGGAAUCUUCCGCAAUGGACGAAAGUCUGACGGAGCAACGCCGCGUGAGUGACGAAGGUUUUCGGAUCGUAAAACUCUGUUGUGAGGGAAGAACAAGUACCACUUAACUACUGGUACCUUGACGGUACCUCACCAGAAAGCCACGGCUAACUACGUGCCAGCAGCCGCGGUAAUACGUAGGUGGCAAGCGUUGUCCGGAAUUAUUGGGCGUAAAGCGCGCGCAGGCGGUCCCUUAAGUCUGAUGUGAAAGCCCACGGCUCAACCGUGGAGGGUCAUUGGAAACUGGGGGACUUGAGUGCAGAAGAGGAAAGUGGAAUUCCACGUGUAGCGGUGAAAUGCGUAGAGAUGUGGAGGAACACCAGUGGCGAAGGCGACUUUCUGGUCUGUAACUGACGCUGAGGCGCGAAAGCGUGGGGAGCAAACAG
This 703-nucleotide ribosomal RNA is filed under the name Planococcus chinensis. Its description in RNAcentral is "bacterial SSU rRNA". It matches the Rfam family "Bacterial small subunit ribosomal RNA", at positions 85 to 775 of the family's 1533-position model. The record is from RNAcentral. Lineage: Bacteria; Bacillati; Bacillota; Bacilli; Caryophanales; Caryophanaceae.